AGUCACUGGGGGAGCCUUGAGCUGAGAGAUGGUUAGUUAACCGUCGACCCUUUGAACCUGUUGGGUUAAUACCUGCGUAGGGAAGUGAAA
Molecule: non-coding RNA, 90 nt
Filed under: uncultured Anaerovibrio sp.
Lineage: Bacteria; Bacillati; Bacillota; Negativicutes; Selenomonadales; Selenomonadaceae
Description: TPP riboswitch (THI element)
Rfam family: TPP riboswitch aptamer (THI element)
About the family: Vitamin B(1) in its active form thiamin pyrophosphate (TPP) is an essential coenzyme that is synthesised by coupling of pyrimidine and thiazole moieties in bacteria. The previously detected thiamin-regulatory element, thi box was extended, resulting in a new, highly conserved RNA secondary structure, the THI element, which is widely distributed in eubacteria and also occurs in some archaea.
Source: RNAcentral